CUACGGGAGGCAGCAGUGGGGAAUAUUGCACACUGGGCGCAAGCCUGAUGCAGCCAUGCCGCGUGUGUGAAGAAGGCCUUCGGGUUGUAAAGCACUUUCAGUCGUGAGGAAGGUGGUAGUGUUAAUAGCACUAUCAUUUGACGUUAUCGACAGAAGAAGCACCGGCUAACUCCGUGCCAGCAGCCGCGGUAAUACGGAGGGUGCGAGCGUUAAUCGGAAUUACUGGGCGUAAAGCGCAUGCAGGUGGUUUGUUAAGUCAGAUGUGAAAGCCCGGGGCUCAACCUCGGAACUGCAUUUGAAACUGGCAGACUAGAGUAAUGUAGAGGGGGGUAGAAUUUCAGGUGUAGCGGUGAAAUGCGUAGAGAUCUGAAGGAAUACCGGUGGCGAAGGCGGCCCCCUGGACAGAUACUGACACUCAGAUGCGAAAGCGUGGGGAGCAAACAGGAUUAGAUACCCCAGUAGUC
RNAcentral lists this ribosomal RNA (464 nucleotides) under uncultured bacterium. RNAcentral describes it as "partial 16S ribosomal RNA". It matches the Rfam family "Bacterial small subunit ribosomal RNA", at positions 339 to 795 of the family's 1533-position model. The record is from RNAcentral.